UACGAAGGGGGCGAGCGUUGUCCGGAAUUAUUGGGCGUAAAGAGCUCGUAGGUGGCCUGUCGCGUCGGCUGUGAAAACUCGGGGCUCAACUCCGAGCUUGCAGUCGAUACGGGCAGGCUAGAGUUCGGCAGGGGAGACUGGAAUUCCUGGUGUAGCGGUGAAAUGCGCAGAUAUCAGGAGGAACACCGGUGGCGAAGGCGGGUCUCUGGGCCGAUACUGACACUGAGGAGCGAAAGCGUGGGGAGCGAACAGG
This 253-nucleotide ribosomal RNA is filed under the name uncultured bacterium. RNAcentral describes it as "partial 16S ribosomal RNA". It matches the Rfam family "Bacterial small subunit ribosomal RNA", at positions 524 to 776 of the family's 1533-position model. The record is from RNAcentral.